This 869-nucleotide long non-coding RNA is filed under the name Citrus maxima (pomelo). RNAcentral's name for it is "long non-coding RNA (CMAX_LNC003555)". Lineage: Eukaryota; Viridiplantae; Streptophyta; Magnoliopsida; Sapindales; Rutaceae. The record is from RNAcentral.
GAAUCCGGGUUUUGACUUCUCGCAGGCACAAUUUACAGGUAGCUGCCCCGACCCAAGGACCUUUAUGGGUGGGAUCCGCUCUGAUUGACAAUGUUACUAUGCUACAUUGCUUACUUGUAUUAAGCCUGUAGCAUUAUUUACUCGUAUUAAGCCUGUAGCAUUGUUUACUUGUAUUAAGCCUGUAGCAUUAUUUACUUGUAUUAAGCCUGUUAGAAUCCUGACACUCUCUCCCUAAAUAAAAACAAUCUGAUUUCCGUCAGUGUUCAGGUAUUCUAUGUAAAACUGUAUUUACCUUGUCAAAUGAUUGUGGUCACAUGUCACUCUAAUUAUUGUCCCGUUUAUUCCAAAUGUAGCAAAAAAAGGGAAAAAAAAGGAAGUGAAAAUGUAUGUCUCAUUGUCUGUUUGUUGUUUGCAGUGUGUUAAGUGCAAUAUGAGGGCCUUGCUCAGCUUUUUAGGCUUGAGUAACAGAUUUUAUCCAGACAGAUCCAUGUGUUGGAGCUUGGAAGCUACUUAGCAAACAGCAAAAUAGCAUCAUGAGUCACAGGAUUAGUUUAUAAGAGAUCGAAGAUGAUGAACCCAGAAGUUAAAAAUUUACCUGUUUUCAAAUUAUUUGAUAUUUGGUUGGCGUUGAUUUGAUAUGGAUUGAAAAUCCCAUGAAUCUGGGAAACAAGAAAGAAUAGAAAGGAUAAAAUGGCUGGUUUUUGAUUUGUUAAGUGAACAAGAAUCAGAUUCCAAAAGAAACCGAAGAAAGUGCUUGAAAGUUGAAUGUAUCGAACUAAUGCUAUAAGAAUCACAUUCCUGAGCGAUCAUUACUUUAAUUUAGACUCGUAUAAUUACGCAAGGCUUAUGCAGUGGGGGCAAUAUUCCAU